UGGGAAUAUUGCACAAUGGGCGCAAGCCUGAUGCAGCCAUGCCGCGUGUGUGAAGAAGGCCUUCGGGUUGUAAAGCACUUUCAGCGAGGAGGAAGGUGGUGAGCUUAAUACGCUCAUCAAUUGACGUUACUCGCAGAAGAAGCACCGGCUAACUCCGUGCCAGCAGCCGCGGUAAUACGGAGGGUGCAAGCGUUAAUCGGAAUUACUGGGCGUAAAGCGCACGCAGGCGGUUUGUUAAGUCAGAUGUGAAAAUCCCCGGGCUCAACCUGGGAACUGCAUUUGAAACUGGCAAGCUAGAUCUCGUAGAGGGGGGUAGAAUUCCAGGUGGUAGCGGUGAAAUGCGUAGAGAUCUGGAGGAAUACCGGUGGCGAAGGCGGCCCCCCUGGACGAAGACUGACGCUCAGGUGCGAAAGCGUGGGGAGCAAACAU
RNAcentral lists this ribosomal RNA (429 nucleotides) under uncultured bacterium. Its description in RNAcentral is "partial 16S ribosomal RNA". It matches the Rfam family "Bacterial small subunit ribosomal RNA", at positions 356 to 775 of the family's 1533-position model. The record is from RNAcentral.